GAUGAACGCUGGCGGCGUGCUUAACACAUGCAAGUCGAACGAAGAUGCCGGAGUGCUUGCACUUUGGCAGACUGAGUGGCGGACGGGUGAGUAACGCGUGGGUAACCUGCCUUAUACAGGGGGAUAACAGUUGGAAACGACUGCUAAUACCGCAUAAGCGCACGGUAUCGCAUGAUACAGUGUGAAAAACUCCGGUGGUAUAAGAUGGACCCGCGUCUGAUUAGCUUGUUGGUGAGGUAACGGCCCACCAAGGCGACGAUCAGUAGCCGGCCUGAGAGGGUGAACGGCCACAUUGGGACUGAGACACGGCCCAGACUCCUACGGGAGCAGCAGUGGGGAAUAUUGCACAAUGGGCGAAAGCCUGAUGCAGCAACGCCGCGUGAGGGAAGACGGUUUUUCGGAUUGUAAAACCUCUGUUUUCGGUGACGAACAAAUGACGGUAACCGAGUAGGAAGUCCACGGCUAACUACGUG
This 473-nucleotide ribosomal RNA is filed under the name uncultured bacterium. RNAcentral describes it as "bacterial SSU rRNA". It matches the Rfam family "Bacterial small subunit ribosomal RNA", at positions 28 to 507 of the family's 1533-position model. The record is from RNAcentral.